RNAcentral lists this ribosomal RNA (304 nucleotides) under uncultured bacterium. Its description in RNAcentral is "partial 16S ribosomal RNA". It matches the Rfam family "Bacterial small subunit ribosomal RNA", at positions 506 to 807 of the family's 1533-position model. The record is from RNAcentral.
CAGCAGUAGCCGCGGUAAUACGAAGGGGGCUAGCGUUGCUCGGAAUGACUGGGCGUAAAGGGCGCGUAGGCGGCCUACACAGUCAGAUGUGAAAUUCCUGGGCUCAACCUGGGGACUGCAUUUGAUACGUGUAAGCUUGAGUGGAGAAGAGGGUCGUGGAAUUUCCAGUGUAGAGGUGAAAUUCGUAGAUAUUGGAAAGAACACCGGUGGCGAAGGCGGCGACCUGGUCUUUUACUGACGCUGAGGCGCGAAAACGUGGGGAGCAAACAGGAUUAGAUACCCGCGUAGUCCCUGUCUCUUAUAC